This 234-nucleotide unclassified non-coding RNA is filed under the name Hevea brasiliensis (rubber tree). Lineage: Eukaryota; Viridiplantae; Streptophyta; Magnoliopsida; Malpighiales; Euphorbiaceae. The record is from RNAcentral.
AGCAAAGCCUCCUAGUGUGAGAUCGUAGAUGUAAGUGGAAUCAAAUAAAUCAACACCUGCAGCAACACCUUGCAAGACCUCUUCUGGUAGUCCAAGGCCACUUAUGAGACGUGGCUUUUCUUCAGGUAAACUAUCCAUAACAGCAUUAAGGAGGGGGUUACGCUCUUCCAUGCUCUCCCCUAAUCCAAAUCCCCCAAUCCAAAAACCUUCUACAUUCCUCCUAGCAACUUCUUG